This is a long non-coding RNA of Rosa chinensis, 1805 nucleotides long. RefSeq lists it as uncharacterized. The record is from RefSeq and is a predicted model, not a curated record. The transcript has 2 exons. NCBI's taxonomy places the organism in Eukaryota, Viridiplantae, Streptophyta, Magnoliopsida, Rosales, Rosaceae.
AAAUGUUGUAGUAUAUAUGAGUCAUAUUGUAUGAUUCAUGUUGUAUGAGUCAUAGUAUGAGUCAUAGUAUAAAUGUCUAUAUCAUGUAAUAAGUACUUGAGUGUAUAGAUAGGUACUUGAGUGUAUAAACAUAGGUACUUGAGUGUAUGAAGACUUGUGUGACAUGCUUUAUACCAAGAGGCAACAAGCAUGGCAGAUUUCAUCAUUGAAGGCAAGUAUGUGGAGCUGCAGCCCUCAAUCAACCAAGAGAAGAUUGUUACCAAAUUGAGUUUCUCUUAGAGCUUUCACACUAGCUAUGUAUUCCUAUAAAUACACUCCUUUGUGAGAAGAUUAAUACACAUGAAUCUCCAUUCUCUCUGCAACAUUACUCUCUCCUCUCUCUCUCUGUUAAUUUAUGCUUGUCCUUAAACACGUUAUCAGCAUGAGCUCCUAGCCCUUGCUAGCCAUACCGUGCGCUGCCCCUGCGCUAGUUCCUGUGCAGAUCAGCCUGCUUACACGCACCAAAACAUCUUGUUCAGGACCUCUGAUCAAAAUACUUUCUUCAUCAAAGUUGUUCAUAUAUGUCUUUUCUAUCUGACCUCAAAAUUUCAGCCAUGUUGAAGUCGUUUUGAGACAUGUACACCAUUUAAAGUGGGAGCUGUUCAGCAUGCUCGUCCCUGUGCAGAUCAACCUGCUUGCACGCCGAGAAACGUCCUUUUAGGGACAUCUAAUCAAAAUACUUUCUUCAUCAAAGUUGUUCAUAUAUGUCUUUUAUAUCUGACCUCAAAAUUUCAUCCCUGUUAAAGUCUUUUUGAGACAUGUAAACCAUUCAAAGUGGGAGCUAUUCAGCAUGAUCGUUCCUGUGCAGAUCAACCUACUUGCACGCCGAGAAACGUCCUUUUCAGGACAUCUAAUCAAAAUAAUUUCUUCAUCAAAGUUGUUAAUCUCUGUCUCUUAUAUCUAAUCUCCAAAUUUCAGCCCUGUUGGAGCAGUUUUGAGACCUGUAUAACAUUUAAAGUGGGAUCUAUUCAGAAACGAAUUUGCUCCGAAUUUCAACAAGAUGUCGAAUGAACCUAGACUCGACUUUCCAAUACUUGACUCAACAGGCUCGGAAUACCAUGGCUGGGUAACCGACGUUGAGAACCAUCUCACUGCAAAAGGGAUAUUGCCCAUAAUACAGGCACCUAUCCAGGGCCUUGUGUUCCAAUGAACACCCACAAAGCAUGCUCAAGCACUUAUCUUGAUACAACGCCACAUGGAUAAAGCUCUCAGAUUAGAGUACAUGUCGAUCAAGGAUGCAAGAGACAUAUGGGUAGCGCUAGAAGAGCGCCAUGGCAAUAUCCAAAUUCCCUCCUCCCUGACUUGAAGAUUCAGUGGAACAAUAUGUGCCAUGGAGGUCGCACCAUGAGACGUGGUAGUAGCAGCAACCCUCCUAGGGAAUAUCCACAACAUGGACAACCUGCACCGCAAAUGAAGGGAGGUAACCACAAUGACAUGUGUUAUCGAUGUGGAUCAAUUGAGCAUUGGCUCAAGCAAUGCCAUGCAAGUACCCAACUAGCUGAAAGCUGCAAGUACCCAACUAGCUGAAAGCUACAAGGAGUAUAGGCAAUUGAGAAAGCAAGAAACCAAUCUUGCUGAAGAUGAAGAUAUCAAUCUUGCUGAAAAUAAAGAUGGUGAAGAUAACACUCUCACCACUGAGCACUUCAAAGCUGCAAAUAAAGAGCACGAGGAUGCCGCAGACUUUGAUUAGAAUAGUCCUUUUCUAUUUUCCAAUAACGGCAAAUGUGCCUUAGUCAAUAAAUGACAAUUGUAUUGACUCUUUCUCA